AAGUCGUAACAAGGUCUCCGUUGGUGAACCAGCGGAGGGAUCAUUACCGAGUUUACAACUCCCAAACCCCUGUGAACAUACCAAUUGUUGCCUCGGCGGAUCAGCCCGCUCCCGGUAAAACGGGACGGCCCGCCAGAGGACCCCUAAACUCUGUUUCUAUAUGUAACUUCUGAGUAAAACCAUAAAUAAAUCAAAACUUUCAACAACGGAUCUCUUGGUUCUG
RNAcentral lists this unclassified non-coding RNA (223 nucleotides) under Fusarium denticulatum. RNAcentral's name for it is "partial internal transcribed spacer region". The stretch from base 1 to 46 matches the Rfam family "Eukaryotic small subunit ribosomal RNA", at positions 1786 to 1831 of the family's 1831-position model. RNAcentral also lists the same sequence under 2 other names. The record is from RNAcentral. Lineage: Eukaryota; Fungi; Ascomycota; Sordariomycetes; Hypocreales; Nectriaceae.